Molecule: transfer RNA, 72 nt
Filed under: Camelus bactrianus (Bactrian camel)
Lineage: Eukaryota; Metazoa; Chordata; Mammalia; Artiodactyla; Camelidae
Also listed under: 3 other names
Rfam family: tRNA
About the family: Transfer RNA (tRNA) molecules are approximately 80 nucleotides in length. Their secondary structure includes four short double-helical elements and three loops (D, anti-codon, and T loops).
Source: Rfam by way of RNAcentral
GGGGUAAUAGCUCGUUGGUAGAGCACAUGCUUAGCAAGCAUGAGGUCCUGGGUUCAAUCCCUAGUACAUCCA